UACGGAAGGCAGCAGUGGGGAAUAUUGCACAAUGGGCGCAAGCCUGAUGCAGCCAUGCCGCGUGUAUGAAGAAGGCCUUCGGGUUGUAAAGUACUUUCAGUCGUGAGGAAGGUGUUAAGGUUAAUAACCUUAGCAAUUGACGUUAGCGACAGAAGAAGCACCGGCUAACUCCGUGCCAGCAGCCGCGGUAAUACGGAGGGUGCGAGCGUUAAAUCGGAAUUACUGGGCGUAAAGGGCACGCAGGCGGUUAAUUAAGUUGGAUGUGAAAUCCCCGGGCUUAACCUGGGAAUGGCAUUCAAGACUGGUUAGCUAGAGUCUUGUAGAGGGGGUAGAAAUUCCAUGUGUAGCGGUGAAAAUGCGUAGAGAUGUGGAGGAAAUACCGGUGGCGAAAGGCGGCCCCUGGACAAAAGACUGACGCUCAUGUGCGAAAAGCGUGGGGAGCAAAACAGGGAUUAAAUACC
This 461-nucleotide ribosomal RNA is filed under the name uncultured bacterium. Its description in RNAcentral is "bacterial SSU rRNA". It matches the Rfam family "Bacterial small subunit ribosomal RNA", at positions 340 to 786 of the family's 1533-position model. The record is from RNAcentral.